Molecule: ribosomal RNA, 284 nt
Filed under: Symbiodinium sp. Mp
Lineage: Eukaryota; Dinophyceae; Suessiales; Symbiodiniaceae
Description: partial Bacterial small subunit ribosomal RNA
Rfam family: Bacterial small subunit ribosomal RNA
Source: RNAcentral
UUGACGGGGGCCCGCACAAGCGGUGGAGCAUGUGGUUUAAUUCGAUGCAACGCGAAGAACCUUACCUACACUUGACAUGCUGAGAAGUUACUAGAGAUAGUUUCGUGCCUUCGGGAACUCAGACACAGGUGCUGCAUGGCUGUCGUCAGCUCGUGUCGUGAGAUGUUGGGUUAAGUCCCGUAACGAGCGCAACCCCUAUCCCUAGUUGCUAGCAGUUCGGCUGAGAACUCUAGGGAGACUGCCGGUGACAAACCGGAGGAAGGUGGGGAUGACGUCAGGUCAUC